Molecule: ribosomal RNA, 435 nt
Filed under: uncultured bacterium
Lineage: Bacteria
Description: partial 16S ribosomal RNA
Rfam family: Bacterial small subunit ribosomal RNA
Source: RNAcentral
AGCGAACGCUGGCGGCAGGCUUAACACAUGCAAGUCGAGCGGGCACUUUCGGGUGUCAGCGGCGGGCGGGUGAGUAACGCGUGGGAACGUGCCCUCUGGUUCGGAAUAACUCAGGGAAACUUGAGCUAAUACCGGAUACGCCCUUUUGGGGAAAGGCUUGCUGCCGGAGGAUCGGCCCGCGUCUGAUUAGCUAGUUGGUGAGGUAACGGCUCACCAAGGCGACGAUCAGUAGCUGGUCUGAGAGGAUGAUCAGCCACACUGGGACUGAGACACGGCCCAGACUCCUACGGGAGGCAGCAGUGGGGAAUAUUGGACAAUGGGCGCAAGCCUGAUCCAGCCAUGCCGCGUGAGUGAUCAAGGCCUUAGGGUUGUAAAGCUCUUUUAUCCGGGACGAUAAUGACGGUACCGGAGGAAUAAGCCCCGGCUAACUUCGUG